Molecule: ribosomal RNA, 348 nt
Filed under: uncultured bacterium
Lineage: Bacteria
Description: partial 16S ribosomal RNA
Rfam family: Bacterial small subunit ribosomal RNA
Source: RNAcentral
CCUACGGGAGGCAGCAGUGGGGAAUAUUGGGCAAUGGACGCAAGUCUGACCCAGCAACGCCGCGUGAAGGAAGAAGGCUUUCGGGUGGUAAACGUCUUGUAAGGGGGAAGAGCAGAAGACGGUACACCUGGAAUAAGCCACGGCUAACUACGGGCCAGCAGCCGCGGUAAUACGUAGGUGGCAAGCGUUGUCCGGAUUUACUGGGGGUAAAGGGCGUGCAGCCGGCGAGACCAGUCAGAUGUGAAAUCCACGGGCUCAACCCGUGAACUGCAUUUGAAACUGGUUCCCUUGAGUGUCGGAGAGGUCAUCGGCAUUCCUAGUGUAGCGGUUACAUGCGUCGAUAUUCGG